UAACUCUACAAGAAAAUAGAAAUAACCUUCCCAUCUCUUUUUCUUUGUAGUCCUCAACACCCCUUCUUCUUUCUCUCUCUAAACCCUAACUUGAGUUGACCCUGCCGCUUUACACUCUUGUCUAUAACUUCUCCGGUUGCUCUCUCUCUCUCUAUCUAUCUCUCUCUCUCAACCUGCCAUCUUGAUGGAUUCCUUGAGGAAUUGUUUCAGAAGCACCAAGGCAGAUCGCCAACCUAACACUACAGUUCGGUCCAAAGUUGGAUCUAGCUCACGAGAAGGAUUUGGGCUGAGGCAAUAUAGCUAUGAUGAACUAGCAGAAUUAACCGAUAAGUUUUCCAACAGAAAACUGCUCGGCGAAGGCGGUUUUAGUCUAGUCUAUGAGGGAACACUAGAUGGGGUAAAAGUUGCUAUUAAGAAACUUAAAAUUCGUCCGGAUGAACGGUCGCAGUCUGAAGAAGAAUCGGUGGAGGAGAUUAAGGUUAUUAGCAGAGUGAGUCACAAAAAUCUCGUUAAGCUGUUCGGAUACUGCAUUGAAGGAGAUGAUAUAUUGCUUAUUUUUUAGUAUGUUCCCAAAAAAAGCUUGAAACAUCAUUUACAUGGAGAGACGACUUUGGAGUGGACAAAAAGAAUGAAAAUCGCCAUAGGAACAGCUAAAGGGUUAGAAUAUUUACAUGAAAACUGUACACCCAAAAUCAUUCAUCGUGAUGUUAAGGCCGAUAAUAUACUUAUUGACGAUAAGUAUGAGCCAAAGAUAGCAGAUUUUGGACUUGCCCUUCUUUUUCGGGAAACUGGUAGCCUCACUCACAUCACUAGAUCAAACAAGGGAACUCAAGUAGCUAAAAGUUUGAAGAAAAGCUAAGCUUUAAGGCUCUUAUUGUGAUGCCCCAUACUCGUCUACUGUAUAGCUGAGCAAGAAGUGCCACAUUCGGUGCCGGAGCACCCUAUAGUGUUUUAUCAUAUCUAUUGUAAACUUUUGAUGUCAUUUAAAACAUAUAUUCUAUGUGUAAAAUUUUUUUUUUACAUUUAUCUUAUUUCUGUGGAGACCCAGACCAAAGCAUUCCCUAUUUUAUUAGCAUCUAGUGGGUUCCAAAAUCACCUAUUAACAUGUCUAUAUUCAUUUCACACAUUUCCAUAUCAUAUUCUCUUGUAUCAUAUCAUUUACAAUUAGUUAUGAGAUCUAAAAAUGAAGUAUUA
Molecule: RNA transcript, 1194 nt
Organism: Hevea brasiliensis (rubber tree)
Lineage: Eukaryota; Viridiplantae; Streptophyta; Magnoliopsida; Malpighiales; Euphorbiaceae
Gene name: proline-rich receptor-like protein kinase PERK3
Exons: 6
Source: RefSeq, a predicted model, not a curated record